Molecule: ribosomal RNA, 279 nt
Filed under: uncultured bacterium
Lineage: Bacteria
Description: partial 16S ribosomal RNA
Rfam family: Bacterial small subunit ribosomal RNA
Source: RNAcentral
UGCCAGCCGCCGCGGUAACACGGGGGGCGCAAGCGUUAUUCGGAAUUAUUGGGCGUAAAGGGCGCGCAGGCGGUCUUGUCCGUCAGGUGUGGAAGCUCGGGGCUCAACCCCGGAAGUGCACUUGAAACAGCAAGACUUGAAUACGGUAGAGGAAAGUGGAAUUCCGGGUGUAGCGGUGAAAUGCGUAGAUAUCCGGAGGAACAUCAGUGGCGAAGGCGGCUUUCUGGGUCGAUAUUGACGCUGAGGCGCGAAGGCGUGGGUAGCGAACGGGAUUAGAUA